RNAcentral lists this ribosomal RNA (446 nucleotides) under uncultured bacterium. RNAcentral describes it as "partial 16S ribosomal RNA". It matches the Rfam family "Bacterial small subunit ribosomal RNA", at positions 338 to 795 of the family's 1533-position model. The record is from RNAcentral.
CCUACGUGUGGCAGCAGUCGAGAAUCAUUCACAAUGGGGGAAACCCUGAUGGUGCGACGCCGCGUGGGGGAAUGAAGGUCUUCGGAUUGUAAACCCCUGUCAUGUGGGAGCAAAUUAAAAAGAUAGUACCACAAGAGGAAGAGACGGCUAACUCUGUGCCAGCAGCCGCGGUAAUACAGAGGUCUCAAGCGUUGUUCGGAAUCACUGGGCGGAAAGCGGGCGUAGGCUGUUGCGUAAGGCGUGAGUGAAAGGCGCGGGCUCAACCCGCGGACGGCACAUGUUACUGCUGGACUAGAGUAAUGGAGGGGGAACCGGGAUUCUCGUUGUAGCAGUGAAAUGCGUAGAUUUCGAGAGGAACACUCGUGGCGAAGGCGGGUUCCUGGACAUUAACUGACGCUGAGGCACGAAGGCCAGGGGAGCGAAAGGGAUUAGAUACCCUUGUAGUC